Molecule: ribosomal RNA, 459 nt
Filed under: uncultured bacterium
Lineage: Bacteria
Description: partial 16S ribosomal RNA
Rfam family: Bacterial small subunit ribosomal RNA
Source: RNAcentral
CCUACGGGAGGCAGCAGUGAGGAAUAUUGGUCAAUGGCCGCAGGGCUGAACCAGCCAAGUCGCGUGAGGGAGGACGGUCCUGUGUAUUGUAAACCUCUUUUGUCAGGGAGCAAAGGGCGCGACGUGUCGCCCGUUGCGAGUACCUGAAGAAAAAGCAUCGGCUAACUCCGUGCCAGCAGCCGCGGUAAUACGGAGGAUGCGAGCGUUAUCCGGAUUUAUUGGGUUUAAAGGGUGCGCAGGCGGACUGUUAAGUCAGCGGUAAAAUUUCGGGGCUCAACCCCGGCCUGCCGUUGAAACUGGCGUUCUCGAGUGGGCGAGAAGUAUGCGGAAUGCGUGGUGUAGCGGUGAAAUGCAUAGAUAUCGCGCAGAACUCCGAUUGCGAAGGCAGCAUGCCGGCGCUAAACUGACGCUGAUGCACGAAAGCGUGGGUAUCGAACAGGAUUAGAUACCCGUGUAGUC